UACGAAGGGGGCUAGCGUUGCUCGGAAUCACUGGGCGUAAAGGGCGCGUAGGUGGCGCGACAAGUCAGUGGUGAAAGUUCGACGCUUAACGUCGAAUCGGCCACUGAUACUGUUGGGCUUGAGCACUGUAGAGGCUAAUGGAAUUCCGGGUGUAGCGGUGGAAUGCGUAGAGAUCCGGAAGAACACCGGUGGCGAAGGCGGUUAGCUGGGCAGUUGCUGACACUGAGGCGCGACAGCGUGGGGAGCAAACAGG
Molecule: ribosomal RNA, 253 nt
Filed under: uncultured bacterium
Lineage: Bacteria
Description: partial 16S ribosomal RNA
Rfam family: Bacterial small subunit ribosomal RNA
Source: RNAcentral